UACGUAGGGACCGAGCGUUGUCCGGAAUCAUUGGGCGUAAAGAGCGUGUAGGCGGCCACUUAAGUCCUGCGUGAAAUCUUGCGGCUCAACCGCAAGCGGUCGUGGGAAACUGGGUGGCUAGAGUGCGGGAGAGGAGAGUGGGAUUCCUGGUGUAGCGGUGGAAUGCGCAGAUAUCAGGAAGAACACCCGUGGCGAAGGCGGCUCUCUGGAACGCAACUGACGCUGAGACGCGAAAGCGUGGGGAGCAAACAGG
Molecule: ribosomal RNA, 253 nt
Filed under: uncultured bacterium
Lineage: Bacteria
Description: partial 16S ribosomal RNA
Rfam family: Bacterial small subunit ribosomal RNA
Source: RNAcentral